This 265-nucleotide unclassified non-coding RNA is filed under the name Peltaster sp. (in: ascomycete fungi). RNAcentral describes it as "partial contains 5.8S ribosomal RNA, internal transcribed spacer 2, and large subunit ribosomal RNA". The stretch from base 1 to 52 matches the Rfam family "5.8S ribosomal RNA", at positions 103 to 154 of the family's 154-position model. Lineage: Eukaryota; Fungi; Ascomycota; Dothideomycetes. The record is from RNAcentral. RNAcentral also lists the same sequence under 1 other name.
AACGCACAUUGCGCCCUCUGGUAUUCCGGGGGGCAUGCCUGUUCGAGCGUCAUUACACCACUCAAGCCUAGCUUGGUAUUGGAUGCUUGUGGAUCUUUUAGCAAUAAAGGGCCUGCACAUCUCGAAUUCUUCCGGCUGGUAUUUAUCAAACCCUUGCGUUGUGGAAACAUUUUUCGCUCUGGUUGUUUGACGAAUAGUCUUUCGCCGUUAAAUCUAUUUUUCUAAGGUUGACCUCGGAUCAGGUAGGGAUACCCGCUGAACUUAA